This 195-nucleotide ribosomal RNA is filed under the name uncultured bacterium. RNAcentral describes it as "partial 16S ribosomal RNA". It matches the Rfam family "Bacterial small subunit ribosomal RNA", at positions 337 to 524 of the family's 1533-position model. The record is from RNAcentral.
UCCUACGGGAGGCAGCAGUGGGGAAUCUUGGACAAUGGGGGAAACCCUGAUCCAGCGAUGCCGCGUGUGUGAAGAAGGCCUUCGGGUUGUAAAGCACUUUAGGUGGGGAAGAAAGGUAGCGAGUGAAUAACUUUCUGCUGUGACGGUACCCACAGAAUAAGCACCGGCUAACUCUGUGCCAGCAGCCGCGGUAAU